RNAcentral lists this ribosomal RNA (468 nucleotides) under uncultured bacterium. RNAcentral's name for it is "partial 16S ribosomal RNA". It matches the Rfam family "Bacterial small subunit ribosomal RNA", at positions 28 to 507 of the family's 1533-position model. The record is from RNAcentral.
GACGAACGCUGGCGGCGUGCUUAACACAUGCAAGUCGAACGGAAAGGCCCUGCUUUUGUGGGGUGCUCGAGUGGCGAACGGGUGAGUAACACGUGAGUAACCUGCCCUUGACUUUGGGAUAACUUCAGGAAACUGGGGCUAAUACCGGAUAGGAGCUCCUGCUGCAGGGUGGGGGUUGGAAAGUUUCGGCGGUUGGGGAUGGACUGGCGGCUUAUCAGCUUGUUGGUGGGGUAGUGGCUUACCAAGGCUUUGACGGGUAGCCGGCCUGAGAGGGUGACCGGCCACAUUGGGACUGAGAGACGGCCCAGACGCCUACGGGAGGCAGCAGUGGGGAAUAUUGCACAAUGGGCGGAAGCCUGAUGCAGCAACGCCGCGUGCGGGAUGACGGCCUUCGGGGUGUAAACCGCUUUCGCCUGUGACGAAGCGUGAGUGACGGUAAUGGGUAAAGAAGCACCGGCUAACUACGUG